RNAcentral lists this ribosomal RNA (468 nucleotides) under uncultured bacterium. RNAcentral's name for it is "partial 16S ribosomal RNA". It matches the Rfam family "Bacterial small subunit ribosomal RNA", at positions 28 to 507 of the family's 1533-position model. The record is from RNAcentral.
GACGAACGCUGGCGGCGUGCUUAACACAUGCAAGUCGAACGGAAAGGCCCUGCUUUUGUGGGGUGCUCGAGUGGCGAACGGGUGAGUAACACGUGAGUAUCCUGCCCUUGACUUUGGGAUAACUUCAGGAAAAUGGGGCUAAUACCGCGUAGGAGCUCCUGCUGCAUGGUGGGGGUUGGAAAGUUUCGGCGGUUUGGGAUGGACUCGCGGCUUCUCAGCUUGUUGGUGGGGUAGUGGCUGACCAAGGCUUUGACGGGUAGCCGGCCUGAGAGGGUGACCGGCGACAUUGGUCCUGAGGUACGGCCCAGACGCCUACGGGAGGCAGCAGGGGGGAAUAUUGCACAAUGGGCGGAAGCGUGAGGUAGCAACGCCGCGUGCGGGAUGAUGGCUUUCGGGUUGUAAACCGCUUUCGCCGGUGACGAAGCGUGAGUGACGGUAAUGGGUAAAGAAGCACCGGCUAACUACGUG